RNAcentral lists this long non-coding RNA (719 nucleotides) under Equus asinus (donkey). RNAcentral's name for it is "lncRNA (ENSEASG00005028975.1)". The record is from RNAcentral. Lineage: Eukaryota; Metazoa; Chordata; Mammalia; Perissodactyla; Equidae.
AGAAGAUUGAACUCUCAACCAUGACACAUGUGAUGGGGAAAUCUGAGUUGAUGGACUGAAAAUCUUGAAUCUGAAUUCCUUUGAAUCUUCUGAGCCCACAGAAGUAGCCCACUCCUCCCUUUGAAGAUGGAAGUGCAUGUUGUAGAGGAUAAAGUCUGUCCUGCAUGCUGUGCAGUGUCCUGAUGAUACUGGCCCGGACUCACUGAUGCUGCCAUGUCCUCAUGGUCUCUAAGUGAUUUGAUACCUCUGUGUGCUGUCUCACAGUCUCUUGGCCUCACUUCUGACUCCAACUAUGGCUAUGGCAAACAGUUCUUGUGGCCUUUGACUCACUGGCAAUAUCUCACCUUAAGCACACACCAGCCAUUUUCAUUUGCUGUCCCAGUCCUUCCCUGACAUAGCGGAAUGGAACUACAAAUGGAAAGCUGAAGAACACUAUGGCAUUUCUGGCAGUCAAGAUUUGGAAAGUUACACACUAAGAAGCUAUAAUAUGCUUAAGGAUAAUUUCCACCUAAUAAAGAGAACAGAAAUUUUGUUUAUGCAACCAAAUAGAGAGUUACUGUAUAGAGCAUAUAUUUUCUGAAUCAAACAGAACAGAGAAUGACGGCAUUGAGACAUGUAGAAAUACCCUUAUAAUGACGGAGCUGUCAUGUGGAAUCAUGUGUUAUUUCAUGUGUCCAUUCCAUCUGAAUGAGCAAUAAAACCAUCUUGGAAAAGAAUAA